CUAAUCGAAGAAUUCAAAUAGAGAAAAAUAUUCAACGCGUGACCGAACAACACAUUAAUUCGCGAAUGCGCGUAGCGCAUGAGUUAAUUAUCAGUGUUGUUCGGUCACGAGUUGAAUAUUUUUCGAUAUUUGAAUUCUUUAAUUAGUUAUUCUUUUUAUUACAUUGGCAAAUGGCUUUUUUGUAAGAAGUUAAUGUAUAACAUGUAAGGAACUAUAUCUUUUUUCUAUGCAUUCACAAUUUGUUUUGAUCCGCCGUUAUCGACGUCUUGACAACGCCUAUUGUUGUAU
RNAcentral lists this long non-coding RNA (288 nucleotides) under Mytilus galloprovincialis (Mediterranean mussel). Lineage: Eukaryota; Metazoa; Mollusca; Bivalvia; Mytilida; Mytilidae. The record is from RNAcentral.